UACGAAGGGGGCUAGCGUUGUUCGGAUUUACUGGGCGUAAAGCGCGUGUAGGCGGGUCGUUAAGUUAGGGGUGAAAUCCCAAGGCUCAACCUUGGAACUGCCUCUAAAACUGGCGACCUGGAGCAGAUGAGAGGCGAGUGGAAUUCCGAGUGUAGAGGUGAAAUUCGUAGAUAUUCGGAGGAACACCAGUGGCGAAGGCGACUCGCUGGCAUCUUGCUGACGCUGAGACGCGAAAGCGUGGGGAGCAAACAGG
RNAcentral lists this ribosomal RNA (253 nucleotides) under Caulobacterales bacterium. RNAcentral describes it as "partial 16S ribosomal RNA". It matches the Rfam family "Bacterial small subunit ribosomal RNA", at positions 524 to 776 of the family's 1533-position model. RNAcentral also lists the same sequence under 1 other name. Lineage: Bacteria; Pseudomonadati; Pseudomonadota; Alphaproteobacteria; Caulobacterales. The record is from RNAcentral.